GUUAAGUUAGUUUAUCUAAAACGUUAAAUUGUGGUUUUAAAAAAAAGUGCCAAGCUUACUUAACU
Molecule: transfer RNA, 65 nt
Filed under: Hanleyella oldroydi
Lineage: Eukaryota; Metazoa; Mollusca; Polyplacophora; Lepidopleurida; Lepidopleuridae
Description: tRNA-His
Source: RNAcentral